Molecule: transfer RNA, 68 nt
Filed under: Chelonodontops pleurospilus (blaasop beauty)
Lineage: Eukaryota; Metazoa; Chordata; Actinopteri; Tetraodontiformes; Tetraodontidae
Description: tRNA-Asp
Rfam family: tRNA
About the family: Transfer RNA (tRNA) molecules are approximately 80 nucleotides in length. Their secondary structure includes four short double-helical elements and three loops (D, anti-codon, and T loops).
Source: RNAcentral
AAGAUACUAGUAAAAAAUUACACUGCCUUGUCAAGGCAGAAUUGCGGGUUAGACCCCCGCGUAUCUUA